UACAGAGGGUGCGAGCGUUGUCCGGAAUCACUGGGCGUAAAGGGCGCGUAGGUGGUGGCUUAAGCGUGCGGUGAAAAGCUCGGAGCUCAACUCCGAGUCGGCCGUGCGAACUGGGCUCACUGGAGCAUAGUAGAGGCAGGUGGAAUUCCGGGUGUAGCGGUGGAAUGCGUAGAGAUCCGGAAGAACACCGGUGGCGAAGGCGGCCUGCUGGGCUAUGGCUGACACUGAGGCGCGACAGCGUGGGGAGCAAACAGGG
This 256-nucleotide ribosomal RNA is filed under the name uncultured bacterium. RNAcentral's name for it is "partial 16S ribosomal RNA". It matches the Rfam family "Bacterial small subunit ribosomal RNA", at positions 524 to 777 of the family's 1533-position model. The record is from RNAcentral.